RNAcentral lists this ribosomal RNA (253 nucleotides) under uncultured bacterium. RNAcentral's name for it is "partial 16S ribosomal RNA". It matches the Rfam family "Bacterial small subunit ribosomal RNA", at positions 524 to 776 of the family's 1533-position model. The record is from RNAcentral.
UACAGAGGGUGCAAGCGUUAAUCGGAAUUACUGGGCGUAAAGCGUGCGUAGACGGUUGCGUAAGUCAGAUGUGAAAGCCCCGGGCUCAACCUGGGAAUGGCGAUGGAUACUGGCUCGCUAGAGUGUGAUAGAGGAUGGUGGAAUUCCCGGUGUAGCGGUGAAAUGCGUAGAGAUCGGGAGGAACAUCAGUGGCGAAGGCGGCCAUCUGGAUCAACACUGACGCUGAGGCACGAAAGCGUGGGGAGCAAACAGG